This 5976-nucleotide long non-coding RNA is filed under the name Sus scrofa (pig). RNAcentral describes it as "lncRNA (ENSSSCG00015020673.1)". The record is from RNAcentral. Lineage: Eukaryota; Metazoa; Chordata; Mammalia; Artiodactyla; Suidae.
UAUCUGUGGCAUAUGGAAGUUUCCAGGCUAGGGUUCGAAUUGCAAACAAAGCAGCAAAGCCAGACCCAAGACAUGUCUGCCACCUACACCACAGGCCAAGGCAACAUCAAAUCCUUAACCCACUGAGCGAGGCCAGGGACCAAACCUGCAUCCUCAUGGAUACUACUUGGGUUCAUGACCACUGAUCCACAAUGGUAACUCCCAUCAUGAAUUCUUAUUAUUUUAAGGUUGUUAAAAAUUGAGAUUAUAAAUAUAUCAAUAUAAAAACUAUUUUAAUCUCUUAAUCAUAAAAUCAUAUGUGGGAAUGAGAUGUCCUAUUAGAUCUAAUAUAUAUAUCUUGGCAUUCUGUCUUGAACAUUUAAGAAAUACACUCAUGUGAAAAUUUUCAAGGUUUAGUUAUAAGAAAAUAGUUGUGUAAUUCUUGGUGUUAAUAUAUCCCGUAGCUAUACUGAAAAUGAGGCAAACAGUGUGAAACUGUCAAACUGUAAAAGGCAGUUUUAUUGGUUUGCUUUAUACAAAAUUAAUUCAUUGAUAAGAGUUGCAAGGACUUUAACCAUACCAGGCAAUGAAAGGUACAAAGAAUUUUUUAAUAUGCUUCAUAUUUAAUAAAAUGUCCUCUCAUAUGUAUUCUCCUUGAGCCUUAAAACAAGCAGAUGAUGAAAGUAUAGCACUUUGCACAUAGAGGAAAAACUGAAGCUAAGAAAUCCUGGAUUUUCCCAAGGAUACACUAAUAAAUUGAAGAGAUAAACAGAUAGAAGAUGCCACUACAGUUUGAAGAAGAAGCCACUACAGUUUGAAGAAUGUACUGGAGAAGGUAUUAUGGGGACUAGACAGAAGCCAGUUGAGAAACCAGUUGAGUGGCUAUUAAAUAUUUCAGGUAGAGAUGGUAAAAUCCAUAACAGAGGUAGGGGCAAUGGGGUGAAAGGAAACUGAUGGAUUUCAAAGAUACUCAUGACAAUUAAGUGGCUGAAUAAAUAGGUGGAGUCAUAUGAAAUUGCUAUUAUUUAACUCUUUUGACAAAUACAAAAGUCAAAUCUACAUUGUUUAAUCUCCUAGAAGUUAAGCAUAAAGGAGUCAUCAAACAAGAUUCUCAGGUUUGAUAACUGAAUAGCCAAGUGGUUGGUAAAAUCAUUUAUUGUAAUAGCAAGCACAGGAGACAAAAGAAGACACUGUUUUUCUGGGCCUAUAUGAUCUUAAAUGUCUUUGAGAAAGUAAGUUGUAAUAUUCAGCCAGAGUAAUUAGGUAAGUAGAUAGGGGAUUCAGAAGAACAACUGCAUCAGCAGUAAACAGCAUUUAGACAUACGUCAAAAUCAUGAGACUUGAUAGUUUGAAAAGUACGUGUAUGAACUGAUGAGAAAAAAAAGAGUGAGAAAAAAAUCAUUCAGAAGAAAGAAAAGAGGACUAAAAGAGAGAGGCAGCAAACAAACAAAGAAACAAACAAAAAACAGAUAUUGGUGUCAGAAUACCAAGGAGAGUUCACAAAAAGGAGUGAUCCUUUUUGUAUCAUUCUACUAGAAAGGUAGCCAGUGAAAUAAGGCAAGAAGAGAAAAGGCAUACAGACUGGAAAUGAAGAAAUGAAAAACUUUGCUGAUUGCAUGAUUAUCUGCAUAGAAAAUAUCAAAAAACCUUCAGAAAAAGAACUUCUAAGUGAUUUUAGCAUGCAUGGUAGCAGGGUAUAAGAAUGAUACUGUUCUUUUUUAAAAAUCAUAUUUUUAUCUUUGAGUAAUGUACACCUUGAAAUUAAAAUUAUAAAAAGGUACUAUUUAUAAUUAGACUGUAAAUGCCAAGUACUUAGGUACACAGCUAAAAAAAUGUGUGCAAUAUCUACUGAAAACUACAACACAACUAUUAACAAUGCAAACUAAAGGAAUGGAAAUAUAUACUACGUUCACUAGUUGGAACAUUUAAUAUUUUUAAGAUAACAGUUUUCCCAAACUAAUCUACUAAAUGCAAUUUCAAUCAAAAACUAGUAGUUUUUUUUUUUUAGAAACAAGUUGAUAACAUAUGCAAAGAGAAAUACAAAGAAACUUAAAUAGUCCAUUUUAAACACAUUUUUGAAAAUGAUCAACAAAGUCUGAGGACUCAUAUUGCUCAAUUUCAGGAUAAACAGUAAAGAUACAGUAAUCAAAAUAGCGUAGUAGUGGCAAAAAAAAAAAUAUAUAAACGAAUAAAAUAGAAAAGCCCAGAAAUAGACCCACACAAAUACAAUGGGUUUUUUUUGCUUUGUUUUUUUACUUUUUUAGGCCCACACAUGCAGCAUAUGGAAAUUCCCAAGCUAGGGGUUAAAUUGGAGCUGGAGGUGCAGACCUAUGCCACAGCCACAGCAGCAGGAUCCUAGCCAUGUCUGCAGCCUAUGCCAUAGCUUAUGACUAUGCUGGAUCCCCAACCCACUGAGCAAGGCCAGGGAUUGAACCCUCAUCCUCAUGGAUACGAGUAAGGUUCAUAACCCUCUGAGCUACAAUGGGAACUCCCCAGUUGACUGUUCUGUCUGAAGGUUAAGGCAGUCUUUUCAACAAACGAUUCUAAAAAAUUUGAAUAUUCAUAUGCCAAAAAUUUAACCUUAACACAAAUCACAUACAAAAUAAAAGAAAAAAAGAAGAAAGCCCUUAAAAGAAAACCCUCAAAAUUGAUCCAAGAAUUAAAAGUAAAACCAUAAAAUGUCUAGAAUAAAAUAUAGGGGAAAUGAAAUUAGAUAAAGAUAUCUCAGCUAUGACACCAAAAGCAGAAUCCAUAAAAGAAAAAAAAUAUCAGACAUCAAUAAACUUAGAAACUUCUAAUCUGGGAAACACUGGUAAGAUCAUGAAAAAAUGAGGUAAAGACUGGGGGGAAUAUUUGCAAAUAUUAUAUAUGGUAAAGGACUUAUCCUGAGUAUAAUAAGAACUCUCAAAACUCAUAAAAAAGCAAACAAUCCAAUAUUUUUAAUGAGCAAGUAUUUUAAGAGAUAUUGAAGUAAGAACACAUUCAGAUGGCAAAUAAGCACAUGAAAAUAAGUAGUUUUUUUAGGGAAAUGCAAAUUAGAACCACAAUGUGAUACCAUAACAGAUCUAUUAGAUGACUGAGAAAAAUAAACUGAAAGCAAAAAGUAAUUGACAAUUCCAAAUAGUAGCUGGGAUACCAAGCAACCAGAACCCUCCUAAAAUGCUGGCAGUAGUGCAAAAAGUAAGCAUGUUGGAAACAGUUUUAAAGAUUAUCAUAAAAUUAAACAUACAGUUAGCAUAUGAUCCAGAUAUCCCACCUUGAGACAUUUACCCAAAAUUUAUGAAAACAUACUCUCACAGAAAUAUCUGUCCUGAAAGUUUAUAUAGAAUUAAAUUUUAAUUGCCCCAAAAUGGAAACAACCUGAGAAUCCUUAAAUUAGUGAAUGGUUAAACUCUGGAAUAUUCUUACAGUGAAUACUACUCAGUAAUAAAAGGAGUGAACUACUGACACACAACAUGAUGUCGAAGUACAUUAUGUUAAGUGAAAGAAGCUGGCCUGAAAAGGCAACAUAUUGUAUGACUCCAUUUACAUGGCAUUUUGGAAAAAGCAAAAUUAAAGGAAAGAAAACAGAUCAGUGGUUGUCAGAGGUCUGUAUGGGGGGGGAGACUGGUUACAAGGGCCCAAAGAAAACUUUGCAGACAAACCAUUUUGUAUAUUGACUUUAACGGUGCUUAUAUAACUGCAUGCAUUUGUCAAACUCUGAAAUAUAUAUUAAAAAGGCCAAUAUUGCUGUGUAUAAAUUAUACCUUAACAAACAAUGGGGGGUGAUCAAGCCAUGUGUAACACUUCAGAUAUAUCAUGUAAGAAAAGAACAACAUCCUAUCUAUUGGAUUUAGAAACAAGAGUGCCCUUGGUGAGAAAAGAAGUGAAGUAUCAUAGAAAGCAAAAAGUCAGUUUGCGGCUGUUCAGAAAGCCAAGAAAAUGCAUCUGAUAAAGUAGGAAGAGCCAAGGCUGUUGACAAUACUCUCAGGAAACUUGAACUAAAAAAGAGACAGAGAGAGAGAAGGUGUUAUGUAGAGUGUGAAUACAAAACUGGGUAAAAAUCACCUGAAAUUUGGAUAUUUGCCUGUAUAUACAGAAAAGACAAUAGAGGAGGGAGUUGAAGAUAUCAGGAUAAGAGGAAAAGUUAACGGUAUGCAGCCUGUGAGGAGAUAGGAGUAGAUGAGUUUAAGCAUAGAACUGGAGCAGGAACCAGGAGAUGGAAGGGCACCAUUUCAACUUUAAUUGGAAAAAGACAGAGAUGAGUGUGACUACACCAAAUUUUGACAGAGUGGCAGAGAGUUGAGGGAAUUUCUAAUUUAUACCUGCUAUGUUUCUCUGUGAGUGAACAUGGAAACUAGAAAACAAUCUCUAUAGUGUUGCAGCCCCCCUCUCCUUGAAGCUGGAGAAAAUAAAUCUGAUACCAUUAAAGCAGUUGUUUCCAAAAGCAUUGAGCAAUCCAGACUAAGCUGAACUCAUCCAAGUUCUCACAGUUUGUUUCUGAUUGGUGAAAUGGAACAACAACGAGACAGAGGAAUUGAGGAUGUUUUCAAAAGACAUGUAUUUUAGAGUAAGCAGUGUAAGAAAGCAAGCAAAAGAAUGGAGAAGAAAAGGAGGACUCAAGGGAUUGGUGAUUUUAUGGAAGUUGAACCAAUGAGGUGGGUUUAACACAGCAAAUCAACAGCAAUAACUUGUUAUGAAGGCUAUCAUCACAGAGUGGGAUUUCAGGGCUUGUAGAUUUCAUAAGUGGUCUGAGUAAGGAAGAAAUUCAUCAUGUGACACUGGGAAGGGAAACUGAUAUUGAAAAGAGGUCCUAUCGCAUGAUACACAAUGCUACGGUACUCUGCAGGUUUUCCACAUUCAUAUUUAAAACAACUGAGAACCCCGAUGUGAUUUUUUAAAAAUCAAUUGUGGAACAAGUACCAAAAUAUUAAUUGCAUAAGAAAAAAUUGCUAUAAAAUUGAUAAAUGAGGAAUUAUGUAGAGAACCAGAUUGCUAAGUUUUAUAGCUUUGAAAGGAACAAGUGAGGAUAUAGGAAUUAAGGUUUUGAGUGGCUCUGGUGAGUGAGGACUCUGAAGCUACUACUCACUCCUACACUAUAUGGAACACAGAUGGCGGAAAAAAAAAAUAUCCUAAGUCAGGAUUCAGUUAAUACGUACAUUAUAUCUUUAUAUAGACAGUAUUCACGUCUGAUGAAAAAAGUGCUCCCAAUGCACAGGAGAACGGAGGGCUGUUUAGUGUGCUUUGUGUGUGUGCAUGUGUGUGGCGGGUACUUCUGAAGAGUUGAGGGACAGUGGAAAGCUGAGCCAGAAGUAUGGAGAUGACAUUCUUAAAGACGACUGAUAACCAGUAAGCAUUAUUACUGUAUAGUACCAAGUUCAUAGGCAUAGAGGCAUGUUCUCUGGUUUUUUCUUCUUGACUGCACUAAUUCAUCCUUGGCUAUCACAGAAAAGUAAGAGACUGGACCAAAUUGCACAAUACUGACCAAGAGCAAAUAAAGAUCAUAUGUGCUGAUUGUACACACUUCCAAGCCUAUGGCAGGCAUGACUAAUUGAUUAUGAUGCCCUUUCCUACUAAGAAUAAUAAUUCAGUUCUAAAGGUCUUCUCAAUAUACUGAUCCAGAUAAUCAUUUCCAGUUGGCCAAAAACACCACAGUAAUCAAAUCAUUUUAAAAUCCUUGUUACAUUUUUUCCAUUUUUUUUCCAUUUGACUUUUCUUAUGGACUCCUGUACUGCACAUUACAGGAACAAAAACAAAAACAAAAACAAAAACAAAAAAAAAAAAACAUCAGCAUUUCUCCUUGCCAUUAAGCAUCUUUCUUCUUAUUAAAAAAAAAAAAUCUAUUCACUAUCCCCAUCUACUCUUCUCAGAAACACAGGUCUUACCACAGAUUUUAAAGGUUUCUAAAAGUCCUUCAGGAUUUUAAAGAGAAAUCUAUUAAGUUUUAGUAGAAACUAUACAAAGUUAUUUCCCCAAAUUGAUAUUCUUGCUCAGUUUUACAGAGAGAAAAUGAGUUUA